RNAcentral lists this ribosomal RNA (499 nucleotides) under Fusarium acuminatum. Its description in RNAcentral is "eukaryotic LSU rRNA". The stretch from base 156 to 309 matches the Rfam family "5.8S ribosomal RNA". Lineage: Eukaryota; Fungi; Ascomycota; Sordariomycetes; Hypocreales; Nectriaceae. The record is from RNAcentral.
CAUUACCGAGUUUACAACUCCCAAACCCCUGUGAACAUACCUUUAUGUUGCCUCGGCGGAUCAGCCCGCGCCCCGUAAAACGGGACGGCCCGCCGCAGGAACCACAAAACUCUGAUUUUAGUGUAACUUCUGAGUCUAAAAAACAAAUAAAUCAAAACUUUCAACAACGCAUCUCUUGGUUCUGGCAUCGAUGAAGAACGCAGCAAAAUGCGAUAAGUAAUGUGAAUUGCAGAAUUCAGUGAAUCAUCGAAUCUUUGAACGCACAUUGCGCCCGCCAGUAUUCUGGCGGGCAUGCCUGUUCGAGCGUCAUUUCAACCCUCAAGCCCCCGGGUUUGGUGUUGGGGAUCGGGCUGUACUCCAGCCCGGCCCCGAAAUCUAGUGGCGGUCUCGCUGCAGCCUCCAUUGGGUAGUAGCUAACACCUCGCAACUGGAACGCGGCGCGGCCAAGCCGUUAAACCCCCAACUUCUGAAUGUGACCUCGGAUCAGGUGGAAUACCCC